UUUAUAAAUGAAUAUAUAACAUUUAAUCAUGUAUAUAUUUUUAAUAAUUUAAUAACUUAAAAAAACACCACACUUUAUUAUAUAUGUAAAAUGUAAAUAGAAGCUACAUUCUUAUUUCAUGAAAUAACAUCAUAGAGAAUGUGAUGGCAGAGUUCAUUCUCAGUAAUAUAUGUGAUACUAAUUAGGAAUCAAACUGUCUUCAAUGGCUGGAUGGAGGUGGAGGUGGAGGUGGAGACAUGAAAGGAAUGGAAGGCAAGCUGCUACUGGGAAGUGGUGGAAGAACAGUGAUAGGCUUAGGCUAAGAUGGUGGGAUUGUUGGUAGCUUCGGGAUUCAAGGCAAUGGAGGUAUGCAGGGUUGAGCUGAGAAUGAUGGUAGAUCUAGGAUUGAAGGCAAUGGAAGUAUGUUGGGCAACUUACGAAGUGGUGGUAGUUCUAAGUUCUGGGAUUGAAGGAAAUGGUGGUGGUUCUGGGAUUAAAGGAAGUGGUGACAUCGGAGGUGGCAAUGGUACCGGUAAAUAUGCAGAUGGCAAUGGUACUGGUAAAAAUGGAGGUGGCAAUGGUAUUGGCGACAAUGGAGGUAGCAAUGGUACUGGUGACAAUGGUAUUGGCGACAAUGGAGGUGGCAAUGGUAUUGGUGGAAAUGGAGGUGGCACUUGCUGAAGAUUUCGGGUUGCUAGGCUAACCUCCAUGCUUGAAAAACCCAAGGAAAUGAAGCAGGCUAAUAAAAUGAAAACGUUGGAAGCUGCCAUUUUUUUUUGGAGAGAUGAACUAAAGAUUGAAGAUUUGAGUUGAGGAAAGCAGGAUUGGUUUCGGGUAUUUAUAGCCACAUUUGAAGGAGUUUUUUAAUUAUUUGUUUGAGAUAUUACUCCCC
RNAcentral lists this long non-coding RNA (871 nucleotides) under Gossypium barbadense (sea-island cotton). RNAcentral's name for it is "long non-coding RNA (GBAR_LNC014562)". The record is from RNAcentral. Lineage: Eukaryota; Viridiplantae; Streptophyta; Magnoliopsida; Malvales; Malvaceae.